UUGUUUAAUAGACAACAUUUAAGCAAUGGAGAAUAUUUUUCUUCUAGUAAAAUUUGACACUUCUUAAUAAACAAGUAUUGAAUACUUCCUAGUUCUUGAGCACUGACAGACCAAAGAUAAACGAG
Molecule: long non-coding RNA, 125 nt
Organism: Herpailurus yagouaroundi (jaguarundi)
Lineage: Eukaryota; Metazoa; Chordata; Mammalia; Carnivora; Felidae
Exons: 3
Source: RefSeq, a predicted model, not a curated record